GAUGAACGCUGGCGGCGUGCUUAACACAUGCAAGUCGAACGGAAAGGCUCCUGCUUGCAGGGGUACUCGAGUGGCGAACGGGUGAGUAACACGUGGGUGAUCUGCCCUGCACUUCGGGAUAAGCCUGGGAAACUGGGUCUAAUACCGGAUAGGACGAUGGUUUGGAUGCCAUUGUGGAAAGUUUUUCGGUGUGGGAUGAGCUCGCGGCCUAUCAGCUUGUUGGUGGGGUAAUGGCCUACCAAGGCGUCGACGGGUAGCCGGCCUGAGAGGGUGUACGGCCACAUUGGGACUGAGAUACGGCCCAGACUCCUACGGGAGGCAGCAGUGGGGAAUAGUGCACAAGGGGCGCAAGCCUGAUGCAGCGACGCCGCGUGGGGGAUGACGGCCUUCGGGUUGUAAACUCCUUUCGCUAGGGACGAAGCGCAAGUGACGGUACCUGGAGAAGAAGCACCGGCUAACUACG
RNAcentral lists this ribosomal RNA (463 nucleotides) under uncultured bacterium. Its description in RNAcentral is "partial 16S ribosomal RNA". It matches the Rfam family "Bacterial small subunit ribosomal RNA", at positions 28 to 505 of the family's 1533-position model. The record is from RNAcentral.